UUUGGUUCUGACUUAUUUAUUCAGUUGCAGCAGAGUUCAGACAAAGGUGCACACAUGAAACUGUUGGCUCUGCAAACCAAAAGAUUUCAGGGGAUCAAGAUCAAAGCUCUGCUCAGAAGUCUGAUGUGGAGACCCAAAGGCAGCAGCUGCUGCUCAUCUAGAAAAGUGCCUUUUUCCAGUUUUUUGUGCCAUGUUUGUGCUUAGCGAGACCCUGUGUGUUUCAGGGGAGUUGCGGAGGUUGAAUAAAGCCCGUGUACUUGGCGGGGAGUGAGCGAGCAACCGCGUGGUUCUGAGUUACUGGCUGGGCUUAAACCAUGACAAUAGCUUUCCAAAUGCUUCCCAUUGUUGUAUCCAACCUGGGACAGAUUGUCUCCAAAAUGCACUGGGAGAAAUAAUCCUCCCAGAAGUGGAGAAACUGGCUGAUCAUUGAGCAGAAAAGUAUCUAUUCUCCACCCUAGCGACAUGCCCUGCAUGCAAGCUAAACAAACCUGAUGCUGUAGAAAAGAUCUGUCAGUGUUUUUGUGGUUGCUUUUGAAGCCAGUUUGGAUGCAGCAGGGGAGUGCUGGGAUUUGGGAAAGGAGUAAAUGCAUGUGGAGGAAAAGCUGACUUUCCUCUUCACUCUUAUCCUGGGGAAGAGUGAGUAUUGUGUUUCGUGGCUAUUCUGGUUUUGAAUCGGCAUCACUGAACUCUAUUCAUCACUGGAAUACUAUCGAGUCAGAGAGGAACAGAAGAGAUUCAUAAUAGAGUACUUAGUGUCUCGAAGUAGAUCAAGUUGUGGUCAUGGCUUCCUGGAGUGCUGGCCUCAGCUAAGAGUGUUCCGGUCUAUUUUGGUUUGUGAACUACCUCUUGGCAGCCUUAAGCCAGCUACUGCAUUUAUUUCAAGAGCACUUCUUUAAUGCCAGAAAACUGCAAAAGAGAUUCUUUUGUCCAUUGAUAAUUGUCCCCAGCAGCUCAGAGCUGGGGCAUCUGCCGGUGCCCUGGAAGAAUGUAUACCUGCUGCACUGUCCAGAUAGUAUAGUGAGAAAAGUUUGUAUUCAAAAACAGACCUUUGCCUCUUCUUUGUUUCACAGCUCAACAAGAGCUCUUUGACAGCUCUUGGUGAGCUGUGAAACAAACAUGAUCUGGUGGUGGACAAUGAUCACUAAAGGCAAAUGUUUAAUCCUCUCUUGUUUGCUUUAAGAUUAAAUAAUUUCUACCUUGGCAUCUGUGUCAGCAGCUGUCCACC
This 1225-nucleotide long non-coding RNA is filed under the name Strigops habroptila (Kakapo). Its description in RNAcentral is "lncRNA (ENSSHBG00005015843.1)". The record is from RNAcentral. Lineage: Eukaryota; Metazoa; Chordata; Aves; Psittaciformes; Psittacidae.